RNAcentral lists this ribosomal RNA (497 nucleotides) under uncultured bacterium. Its description in RNAcentral is "partial 16S ribosomal RNA". It matches the Rfam family "Bacterial small subunit ribosomal RNA", at positions 28 to 507 of the family's 1533-position model. The record is from RNAcentral.
GAUGAACGCUGGCGGCGUGCCUAAUACAUGCAAGUCGAGCGAACAGAUGAGGAGCUUGCUCCUCUGACGUUAGCGGCGGACGGGUGAGUAACACGUGGAUAACCUACCUAUAAGACUGGGAUAACUUCGGGAAACCGGAGCUAAUACCGGAUAAUAUAUUGAACCGCAUGGUUCAAUAGUGAAAGACGGUUUUGCUGUCACUUCUAGAUGGAUCCGCGCCGCAUUAGCUAGUUGGUAAGGUAACGGCUUACCAAGGCAACGAUGCGUAGCCGACCUGAGAGGGUGAUCGGCCACACUGGAACGGAGACACGGUCCAUACGCCUACGGGAGGCAGCAGUAGGGAAUCUUCCGCAAUGGGCGAAAGCCUGACGGAGCAACGCCGCGUGAGUGAUGAAGGUCUUCGGAUCGUAAAACUCUGUUAUGAGGGAAGAACAAAUGUGUAAGUAACUAUGCACGUCUUGACGGUACCUAAUCAGAAAGCCACGGCUAACUACGUG